RNAcentral lists this ribosomal RNA (460 nucleotides) under uncultured bacterium. Its description in RNAcentral is "partial 16S ribosomal RNA". It matches the Rfam family "Bacterial small subunit ribosomal RNA", at positions 338 to 795 of the family's 1533-position model. The record is from RNAcentral.
CCUACGGGUGGCAGCAGUGAGGAAUAUUGGUCAAUGGACGAGAGUCUGAACCAGCCAAGUAGCGUGAAGGAUGACUGCCCUAUGGGUUGUACACUUCUUUUAUAAAGGAAUAAAACGAGGCACGUGUGCCUUUUUGCAUGUACUUUAUGAAUAAGGAUCGGCUAACUCCGUGCCAGCAGCCGCGGUAAUACGGAGGAUCCGAGCGUUAUCCGGAUUGAUUGGGUUUAAAGGGAACGUAGAUGGGUUGUUAAGUCAGUUGAGAAAGUUUGCGGCUCAACCGUAAAAUUGCAAUUGAUACUGGCAGUCUUGAGUACAGUUGAGGUAGGCGGAAUUCGUGGUGUAGCGGUGAAAUGCUUAGAUAUCACGAAGAACCCCGAUUGCGAAGGCAGCUUACUAAACUGUGACUGACAUUGAUGCUCGAAAGUGUGGGUAUCAAACAGGAUUAGAUACCCUAGUAGUC